RNAcentral lists this transfer RNA (75 nucleotides) under Candidatus Eiseniibacteriota bacterium. Its description in RNAcentral is "tRNA-Glu". It matches the Rfam family "tRNA". From Rfam's summary of the family: Transfer RNA (tRNA) molecules are approximately 80 nucleotides in length. The record is from RNAcentral. Lineage: Bacteria; Candidatus Eiseniibacteriota.
GUCCCCGUCGUCUAGCCCGGCCUAGGACACCGCCCUUUCACGGCGGCAACACGGGUUCGAAUCCCGUCGGGGACG